Molecule: ribosomal RNA, 460 nt
Filed under: uncultured bacterium
Lineage: Bacteria
Description: partial 16S ribosomal RNA
Rfam family: Bacterial small subunit ribosomal RNA
Source: RNAcentral
CCUACGGGUGGCAGCAGUGAGGAAUAUUGGUCAAUGGCCGGAAGGCUGAACCAGCGAAGUCGCGUGAGGGAAGAAGGAUCUAUGGAUGGUAAACUUCGUUUGUAGGGGAGUAAAGGAAGACACGUGUGGAUCUUUGCAUGUACCCUAUGAAUAAGCAUGGGCUAACUCCGUGCCAGAAGGCGCGGUAAUACGGAGGAUGCGAGCGUUAUCCGGGUUUAGUGGGUUUAAAGGGUGCGUAGGUGGUUUUUCAAGUCAGCGGUGAAAGUUUGUGGCCCAGCCCCCAAAUUGCCGUUGAAACUGGAAGCCUUGAGUGUGUUUGAGGUAGGCGGAAUGCGUGGUGUAGCGGUGCAAUGCGUAGAUAUCACGCAGAACUCCGAUUGCGAAGGCAGCUUACUGGGCCAUACCUGACACUGAGGCACGAAAGCGUGGGGAUCAAACAGGAUUAGAUACCCCUGUAGUC